UGGACCAAGAGAAGACUGGUAUUGCCCAGAU
This 31-nucleotide non-coding RNA is filed under the name Rattus norvegicus (Norway rat). The record is from RNAcentral. Lineage: Eukaryota; Metazoa; Chordata; Mammalia; Rodentia; Muridae.